RNAcentral lists this ribosomal RNA (905 nucleotides) under Bacillus subtilis. RNAcentral's name for it is "bacterial SSU rRNA". It matches the Rfam family "Bacterial small subunit ribosomal RNA", at positions 54 to 937 of the family's 1533-position model. Lineage: Bacteria; Bacillati; Bacillota; Bacilli; Caryophanales; Bacillaceae. The record is from RNAcentral.
AUUGCAAGUCGAGCGGGAACAGAUGGGGAGCUUGCUCCCUGAUGUUAGCGGCGGACGGGUGAGUAACACGUGGGUAACCUGCCUGUAAGACUGGGAUAACUCCGGGAAACCGGGGCUAAUACCGGAUGGUUGUUUGAACCGCAUGGUUCAAACAUAAAAGGUGGCUUCGGCUACCACUUACAGAUGGACCCGCGGCGCAUUAGCUAGUUGGUGAGGUAACGGCUCACCAAGGCAACGAUGCGUAGCCGACCUGAGAGGGUGAUCGGCCACACUGGGACUGAGACACGGCCCAGACUCCUACGGGAGGCAGCAGUAGGGAAUCUUCCGCAAUGGACGAAAGUCUGACGGAGCAACGCCGCGUGAGUGAUGAAGGUUUUCGGAUCGUAAAGCUCUGUUGUUAGGGAAGAACAAGUACCGUUCGAAUAGGGCGGUACCUUGACGGUACCUAACCAGAAAGCCACGGCUAACUACGUGCCAGCAGCCGCGGUAAUACGUAGGUGGCAAGCGUUGUCCGGAAUUAUUGGGCGUAAAGGGCUCGCAGGCGGUUUCUUAAGUCUGAUGUGAAAGCCCCCGGCUCAACCGGGGAGGGUCAUUGGAAACUGGGGAACUUGAGUGCAGAAGAGGAGAGUGGAAUUCCACGUGUAGCGGUGAAAUGCGUAGAGAUGUGGAGGAACACCAGUGGCGAAGGCGACUCUCUGGUCUGUAACUGACGCUGAGGAGCGAAAGCGUGGGGAGCGAACAGGAUUAGAUACCCUGGUAGUCCACGCCGUAAACGAUGAGUGCUAAGUGUUAGGGGGUUUCCGCCCCUUAGUGCUGCAGCUAACGCAUUAAGCACUCCGCCUGGGGAGUACGGUCGCAAGACUGAAACUCAAAGGAAUUGACGGGGCCCCCCCAAAAGAAAAAAA